AAAGCCUGUCGCACCAACUCUGUGUGGGAAACCGCUGGAGGGCCCGUGCUAACUACACGGGGUGGUAACAGACGACACGGAUACCUCCACGCCUUUUUUGGUGUAGAUACCAUGGGCAAUCCGCAGCGAAGCCUCUAAGUCCGGCCGCCGGAUAUGAGGAACGUUCACAGACUAAGUGGAAGUGGGUGGAGCGUUCGCCGCUCUGCUUAAGAUAUAGUCGGUCCCCUUGGGAAACUAAGGGGGUGAGUACACUGCUCGAAAUUUAAACUUGAGCGCAUCUCGGAUAGCGCUCGUGUUAGAAUUUCGGGACCGUCGAUUGCCUCGCGGUUCGACGGCUCUUAAAACGUUCCGUAGGUGAACCUGCGGAAGGAUCAUUACAGAAAGUAAACGCGGAUCAAACCGCGAACUUUUAAACCUUUGACGAUUGACUCAUGUUGCCUCGGCGGGUUCUCUCGCCAGAGGAUACAUCAAAACUCCUGUUUUAACGGUGUUGUCUGAGCUACAAGCAACGAAUCAAAACUUUCAACAACGGAUCUCUUGGUUCUGGCAUCGAUGAAGAACGCAGCGAAAUGCGAUAAGUAGUGUGAAUUGCAGAAUUCAGUGAAUCAUCGAAUCUUUGAACGCACAUUGCGCCCCUUGGUAUCCCGAGGGGCAUGCCUGUUCGAGCGUCAUUUCACCACUCAAGCCUGGCUUGGUGUUGGGCGACGUCCCCUUCAGGGACGCGCCUCGAAACGCUCGGCGGCGUGGCACCGGCUUUAAGCGUAGCAGAAUCUUUCGCUUCAAAAGUUGGGGCCCCGUCUGCCGGAAGACCUACUCGCAAGGUUGACCUCGGAUCAGGCAGGGAUACCCGCUGAACUUAAGCAUAUCAAUAAGCGGAGGAA
RNAcentral lists this unclassified non-coding RNA (881 nucleotides) under Cenococcum geophilum. RNAcentral's name for it is "partial contains ITS1, 5.8S rRNA and ITS2". The stretch from base 518 to 671 matches the Rfam family "5.8S ribosomal RNA". The record is from RNAcentral. Lineage: Eukaryota; Fungi; Ascomycota; Dothideomycetes; Gloniales; Gloniaceae.